Long non-coding RNA from Dermochelys coriacea (leatherback sea turtle), 142 nucleotides. RefSeq lists it as uncharacterized. Lineage: Eukaryota; Metazoa; Chordata; Testudines; Dermochelyidae. The record is from RefSeq and is a predicted model, not a curated record. The transcript has 3 exons.
GCCCAGUGUAGGUGGUGUUUGAUGUUUGGCUGCGGGUGCUUGUUAUCCCUGUGUGCUGUCUUAGGUCUACACAGACAGUUGGCACAGCAGACCUCAAGCGAACUGCCCAACGACCACAAGAUUCGUUAAGGGACAAAGGCAC